RNAcentral lists this long non-coding RNA (259 nucleotides) under Ananas comosus (pineapple). RNAcentral describes it as "long non-coding RNA (ACOM_LNC013496)". The record is from RNAcentral. Lineage: Eukaryota; Viridiplantae; Streptophyta; Magnoliopsida; Poales; Bromeliaceae.
AACGGAAGUAUUUGUUCGUACCUUUUUGCGGAAGCGAUUUGCGCUAGAACGCAACGAGCUCGGAUUGUAGGGGUUGAUUCACGUGUCUUCGAAUCGUCCACGAAAAUCUUCUAUCGCUCCAAACUCACGGUAGAUCGAACUACAAACGAGCACGAUCUCCAAUCCAUCAUUCAAGACCACCUAGAAUAAUAGGUUAAUUGAGAAUGUGGUUUUACGAUUCUCUCUUAGUUUUCUUGUUGUCUUUCUUAUUAGGCUAAAU